Molecule: non-coding RNA, 94 nt
Organism: Pogona vitticeps (central bearded dragon)
Lineage: Eukaryota; Metazoa; Chordata; Lepidosauria; Squamata; Agamidae
Source: RefSeq, a predicted model, not a curated record
AUUUCACUUAUCAAACAUUGGAGUAGAGCAUACAGCAAAAAGAUUUCUGAGAUUGCUAAUCAGGAAGUGAAGGCUGAAAAGCUCUGUAAGAACU